CAGGCCUUGGACUCAUGCCACCAAGGUGUCCUUGCUGCUCUCUGAUGCCAAGAGAUCUGUAGGGACCAGGAAAUGGUGAUGUCUUUAUCUCUGGUGAAAACAGGCAUGGAAAAGCAAAAAGGAAGGUUUCAGAGUCCCCUCCUCCACAUUUCAUGGACGAGGAAGAUGCCCCUGGUAUGAGCUACUCCUCUGCAAUACUGCUCGUCUUUUCUUCGGAGGACUGAGCAAGUGUGGAAAACAAAAACCUACCUCGCUGGCAUCCUUGUGCUCCGCGAAGACCAAGGAUGAAGACUUUAAAAACCACUAGCCAAAUCAUAGCCUCAAUCCUGAAGCGUGAGGAGGGAACUUCCGCCGCAGCUCUCCAGCCCAGAGUCCAACAGCAUAGCCACAGCUCCAAGCGCCUGUGUCAUGUCCACCUCUGCUCACCCACGCGGAUAAGGUUGUGAGAGCCCGACGCCCACACCCCGCUCUGCCCAAGACCCACUGAAAAUGCUGUCCUUGGAGAACUUGACUUUAAAAAAAAAAAAAAUUUAAAAGACAGAGGGAGAGAGAGAUUGAUUGAUUUUCUUAUCCACUGGUUCAUUCUCUAGCUGCUUGCAACAGCUGAAACUGGUGGAAGUCAUAAGCCAGGAAUUCAAUCCAGGUCUCUGCAGGAACCCAAAUAUUUGAGCUGUCAUUUACUGCCUCCCGCAGUGUGUAUUAGCAGGAAGCUAGACUCAGAAACCGAGCUGGGACUGGAGCCUGGCACUCUGACCACUGAUACUAAUAGUGUCUUAACUUUGUGCCAAAUACUUGCCCUUUAUGACUUCUUUAAUCACUGGAUUUUUCCUUUAUCAAUACUAGAUUUUUUUGAUAAAUUAGGCGUGCAUUUUUAAGCUUAAUAAUAUUUAAUCACUCAUGUAUUAAUCUCCUGAGCAUCUACAAUGAAUGUGCUGGUAAAUGCCGUAUAUUUGUAGACUUUAAUGCUGGUGUGUUGUUUCCAUGUUAGGUGUCAAAAAAGUAGAAGACACUCAUUCAAGAUCAAGUUUACUGAGAUCUACACUCAGAUCCCUGGCUCCAAAGCACCUUCGCCUCCUCCCAAAUCAUCCCACCCCCAAAUGACUGUCUCAUUUUAGAGACGAAGGACCCUGCCAACUGUAAUUUUUUUUAAUGAAAUACCUUUUAGGGCCAAGUCAUGAUACAGCAAAAAGGCACAGCACCAACAAUUGAAUGUUCACAAUGUAUCAGCGCACUCAUUAAUCAAGUAGCUGAGAUUCCUGCUUGUUAUUUUCUCAGAGGUUUGCCUACCCGCCCCCGCCCCAAGUUUGCAUCAGGGCUCCCACACUGCGGUUUUGGUGGUAAACUGAGUCUCAGCUUUCUGGAGACCCUGGAAAUCAGAGGAUCCUGUUGGGAUUUGGGGGCAGGAUUAAAGGAGACCAGGUCUGUGAAAGCCCCCAGGAUGGUGCCUGGAGCCUGGCGCACCUGCUGAGGCUCCUCCUCUGCCAUCUUCCUGGCAGUAGAUGUUUCCAUGAGGCUGGCUGCUGGACACGUGCCUGGGCUUCCUAGUUUUCUGCCAGCCCUACCUUGACUUGUGCUCCCAGAGCAGACUCUGUAUUUGGCUCCCUCCUCCUUCUCCAGGAAAUCUGAGGAAUCCAGGCCAAGGCCGGGUGCUGUGCACAGAGACCUUGCUUGCUCUUCCCAUGGCACCUCUCUCUCUCUCUGCUUGGCUAGCGCGUCACCACCGAGCUGGAGAGCACCUGCUAUGGGCUAACACCAGAACAUGGAACCCCAGGGGAGUGCUGGCAGGGUACAGGCAGAAGCCAAGGGGACCUUUCCAAAUCUGUCCCACCAACAGUGCUGCGGGAGGGGGAGAAGGAAAGCACACGGACGGAUGUAACUGGAAAAGCGGGGCCAUUGUCCUUCCCCCCUCCCUCCUGGUUUAUAUUCCGCUCCCUCGAGCAAGGUGCCAAGCCGGCACACGUGUUUUCCGAAAUGACCAUGGUACUGCAGGGCUGCAGAAAUUCUGCAAGUGCACCUCGAGUGCCUGGCGUGUCUUGCGGGGCGCACAGCAGAGGCUUGGGGGUAGCGCCUGGAUGAUAGUAGUGCUCUCUUCCAGGCAUUCCUCCUCCUUCAUGAUGCUCCCUGCGCAAGAGGCCACUCAAAAUGAGCAGUUGCUAAACCCUUUCCAAACAACUGUCCGUCUUCCCUAAG
Molecule: non-coding RNA, 2190 nt
Organism: Oryctolagus cuniculus (rabbit)
Lineage: Eukaryota; Metazoa; Chordata; Mammalia; Lagomorpha; Leporidae
Source: RefSeq, a predicted model, not a curated record